GGCUCUCAUCCAAUCCCUAUAGGGCUAUUUUGGGCAUUAUCGAAGAUCCUCCUAUUCCUAGCUGCCCAAAUAUAGUAAACUGUAUAGCAUAGGCAAGUCACCAUCCCUUGGCGCGUGGCUUUAGCUCAGCUCUCCUAUCCAAUGAAGUAGAUAAAAGCUUUCCUAUCCUAUACUGGGGAACUAAGGGCUAACCAACCAAACAUAACUCCAAAUAGAAUGGGCCCUCU
This 227-nucleotide long non-coding RNA is filed under the name Elaeis guineensis (African oil palm). RNAcentral's name for it is "long non-coding RNA (EGUI_LNC038943)". The record is from RNAcentral. Lineage: Eukaryota; Viridiplantae; Streptophyta; Magnoliopsida; Arecales; Arecaceae.